AGAGAGGGGUGUCUGUAUACGCGAUUUCAAAUUAGAUGCUGUUCUCUCUUCACAUUAAUUAGAGAUUUGGGAUCUGAUGUUUUUUUUUUAACUUACUAGUCAAAAAGUUAUUACUACUUAAAGUAGUAUCAGAAUAAAACGUCACUUCGAGUUUCACACCCUUAUUUGUACUGUACACAAAUAUUUGCCGCCAUUUUUUUGGAGGCAGAGCCUCUACUCACAAGUCUUGCGUUCUUACAUUAUCACGAUCAGGCAACCGGUGGAUACAGUUGAACGUUUUAGGCCAGUCCUUGAAAUGACUACUAAAAAGAAACGCUCUGUGCACGCCGACAAAGACAGCUGGGUUGUCAUUACUCCAGAUUCGGCACUGGACACAGGCAGGUCUGAAGAGGGUGAUCCGUCCUUCAUCAAACUAAAGAAUCCUGCUACAGGAAGUUCUUCACUGUACCUGUUUGGUUGUGGCGAUUGCAGUGUUUAUGAAGUAAAAGCCUUUUCUGAAGACUUUCGGUCUUGGUUUAUUGGACAGACAUUGC
Sinocyclocheilus grahami is the source of this 533-nucleotide long non-coding RNA. RefSeq lists it as uncharacterized. The transcript is spliced from 3 exons. Lineage: Eukaryota; Metazoa; Chordata; Actinopteri; Cypriniformes; Cyprinidae. The record is from RefSeq and is a predicted model, not a curated record.